This 69-nucleotide transfer RNA is filed under the name Mycobacteroides chelonae. Its description in RNAcentral is "tRNA-Ala". Lineage: Bacteria; Bacillati; Actinomycetota; Actinomycetes; Mycobacteriales; Mycobacteriaceae. The record is from RNAcentral.
CCUUAGCUCAGUUGGUAGAGCGCUACCUUUGCAAGGUAGAUGUCAGGAGUUCGUUUGUUAUCUGCAGGA